UACGUAGGGGGCUAGCGUUGUUCGGAAUCACUGGGCGUAAAGGGUGCGCAGGCGGAUUUUUAAGUCAGGUGUGAAAUCCCGAGGCUCAACCGCGGAACUGCCUUUGAUACUGGGGAUCUUGAGUACGGAAGAGGUGAGUGGAACUGCGGGUGUAGCGGUGAAAUUCGUAGAUAUUCGCAAGAACACCGGUGGCGAAGGCGGCUCACUGGGCCGGAACUGACGCUGAGGCACGAAAGCGUGGGGAGCAAACAGG
RNAcentral lists this ribosomal RNA (253 nucleotides) under uncultured bacterium. RNAcentral describes it as "partial 16S ribosomal RNA". It matches the Rfam family "Bacterial small subunit ribosomal RNA", at positions 524 to 776 of the family's 1533-position model. The record is from RNAcentral.